GGAUGCGAUCAUACCAGCACUAAAGCAUCGGAUCCCAUCAGAACUCCGAAGUGAAGCGUGCUUGGGCGAGAGUAGUACUAGGAUGGGUGACCUCCUGGGAAGUCCUCGUGUUGCAUUCC
Molecule: ribosomal RNA, 119 nt
Filed under: Triticum aestivum (bread wheat)
Lineage: Eukaryota; Viridiplantae; Streptophyta; Magnoliopsida; Poales; Poaceae
Also listed under: 1 other name
Source: RNAcentral